This 393-nucleotide ribosomal RNA is filed under the name uncultured bacterium. Its description in RNAcentral is "partial 16S ribosomal RNA". It matches the Rfam family "Bacterial small subunit ribosomal RNA", at positions 523 to 918 of the family's 1533-position model. The record is from RNAcentral.
AUACGGAGGAUCCGAGCGUUAUCCGGAUUUAUUGGGUUUAAAGGGAGCGUAGGUGGACAGUUAAGUCAGUUGUGAAAGUUUGCGGCUCAACCGUAAAAUUGCAGUUGAUACUGGCUGUCUUGAGUACAGUAGAGGUGGGCGGAAUUCGUGGUGUAGCGGGGAAAUGCUUAGAUAUCACGAAGAACUCCGAUUGCGAAGGCAGCUCACUGGACUGCAACUGACACUGAUGCUCGAAAGUGUGGGUAUCAAACAGGAUUAGAUACCCUGGUAGUCCACACAGUAAACGAUGAAUACUCGCUGUUUGCGAUAUACAGUAAGCGGCCAAGCGAAAGCAUUAAGUAUUCCACCUGGGGAGUACGCCGGCAACGGUGAAACUCAAAUGAAUUGGCGGGG